CUACGGGGGGCUGCAGUGGGGAAUAUUGCACAAUGGGCGCAAGCCUGAUGCAGCCAUGCCGCGUGUAUGAAGAAGGCCUUCGGGUUGUAAAGUACUUUCAGCGGGGAGGAAGGGAGUAAAGUUAAUACCUUUGCUCAUUGACGUUACCCGCAGAAGAAGCACCGGCUAACUCCGUGCCAGCAGCCGCGGUAAUACGGAGGGUGCAAGCGUUAAUCGGAAUUACUGGGCGUAAAGCGCACGCAGGCGGUUUGUUAAGUCAGAUGUGAAAGCCCCGGGCUCAACCUGGGAACUGCAUCUGAUACUGGCAAGCUUGAGUCUCGUAGAGGGGGGUAGAAUUCCAGGUGUAGCGGUGAUAUGCGUAGAGAUCUGGAGGAAUACCGGUGGCGAAGGCGGCCCCCUGGACGAAGACUGACGCUCAGGUGCGAAAGCGUGGGGAGCAAACAGGAUUAGAUACCCGUGUAGUC
RNAcentral lists this ribosomal RNA (464 nucleotides) under uncultured bacterium. RNAcentral describes it as "partial 16S ribosomal RNA". It matches the Rfam family "Bacterial small subunit ribosomal RNA", at positions 339 to 795 of the family's 1533-position model. The record is from RNAcentral.